RNAcentral lists this RNase P RNA (338 nucleotides) under Phycisphaerales bacterium. Its description in RNAcentral is "partial RNase P RNA component class A". It matches the Rfam family "Bacterial RNase P class A", at positions 67 to 367 of the family's 367-position model. Rfam says of the family: Ribonuclease P (RNase P) is a ubiquitous endoribonuclease, found in archaea, bacteria and eukarya as well as chloroplasts and mitochondria. Its best characterised activity is the generation of mature 5'-ends of tRNAs by cleaving the 5'-leader elements of precursor-tRNAs. Lineage: Bacteria; Pseudomonadati; Planctomycetota; Phycisphaerae; Phycisphaerales. The record is from RNAcentral.
CACGGUGGUGGGUAACGCCCACCGACUUCUGGUUGCAAGUCAGGGAAAGUGCCACAGAGAACAGACCGCCAACCCCGUCUCGACGGGCGGCAAGGGUGAAAAGGUGCGGUAAGAGCGCACCGCUCGCACGGUGACGUGCGGGGCACGGCAAACCCCACCGCGUGCAAGCGCAAGCAGCUCCAGUUCGGCAUGCCGAACACCCGUUGUCCGCGGGAUGGAGCGGGUCGCGUGCUCGAUGCAUGUCAUGCAUCGGAGGUCGUCGGCAACGGCGGCUCCAGAGAAAUGAUCACCACGACGCUGGCGUCGUACAGAACUCGGCUUAUCUCCAAUGCAACCAC